AACUAACGCUGGCGGCGUGCCUAACACAUGCAAGUCGAACGGUUCUAAAUGAAUAAAAAAGGUUCGCCUUUUUUAUUUUCUAGGAUAGUGGCGCACGGGUGAGUAACACGUAGAUAACCUGUCCUUAAGACCGGCAUAACCUCUCGAAAGGGGGGCUAAUACGGGAUAUGACUACGAUACGGCAUCGUAUUGUGGUAAAAGGAGAAGCUUAAGUUUCUUGCUAUCGCUUAAGGAGGGGGCUGCGACCUAUUAGCUAGUUGGUAGGGUAAUGGCCUACCAAGGUUAUGAUGGGUAGCCGGCCUGAGAGGGUGUCCGGCCACACUGGAACUGGGACACGGUCCAGACUCCUNACGGGAGGCAGCAGUGAGGAAUUUUGCGCAAUGGGCGAAAGCCUGACGCAGCGACGCCGCGUGGAGGAUGAAGGCUUUCGGGUUGUAAACUCCUGUCAGAGGUGAAGAAAACCCCCUUAGGGGGGCUUGACGGUAACCUCAGAGAAGCCCCGCUAACUA
Molecule: ribosomal RNA, 509 nt
Filed under: uncultured bacterium
Lineage: Bacteria
Description: bacterial SSU rRNA
Rfam family: Bacterial small subunit ribosomal RNA
Source: RNAcentral